GCCUUGGUAGCUCAGUCGGUAGAGCAUGAGACUUUUAAUCUCAGGGUCGUGGGUUCGAGCCCCACCUAGGGCG
Atractiella rhizophila is the source of this 73-nucleotide non-coding RNA. The record is from the annotation of a GenBank genome assembly. NCBI's taxonomy places the organism in Eukaryota, Fungi, Basidiomycota, Atractiellomycetes, Atractiellales, Hoehnelomycetaceae.